Acipenser ruthenus (sterlet) is the source of this 2029-nucleotide long non-coding RNA. RefSeq lists it as uncharacterized. Lineage: Eukaryota; Metazoa; Chordata; Actinopteri; Acipenseriformes; Acipenseridae. The record is from RefSeq and is a predicted model, not a curated record. The transcript has 3 exons.
UCGCCUUGGGCCAGCACUACCUGGAGCAACACUCUACCACAGUCACUGUUUAAUUGUUAUCACCCACCACGAGCACUACUGCAUGCACCCGGACUGGUGACCAUGUAUUGUAUUAUUGUGGGGCGGAUAACGUGUCUUUAUAAUUUGGACUACAAUCCAUUUAUUAUUGGUGUGUAUUGCCAGAGGUUUAUUGUUUGGUCGCCAGACCGGGAGUUAUAAAUUAUUAUUAUUAUUAUUAUUAUUAUUAUUAUUAUUUAUUUCUUAGCAGAUGCCCUUACCCAGGGCGACUUACAGUCGUAAACAAAAAAUACAUUUCAAGAAUCACAGUACAAGUAUUAAUACAAUUAAGAGCAGGAUAAAAUACAAUGACUUCAGUUCUAGUAGUACAAGUAUAUGACAAAAUACGAUUCAAUAUCGGAGCAGUUAACAGUGUUAGUGAUAGUUACAUCAGGAUAUGAUUAAGUGCAAAAUACUACAGAUUGAAUAACACUUGUGGUAGAUUACAGUACAGUACUCUGUAAAGUACAGGAUUAAAUGCAGUAAAAUAGGGAGCAGAUAAGUGCAAGUAAAGCGCAUUAAGGAAGAGUGAUAAAGUGUCCAGAGGGAAAAGAGGAGUUCUACAGGUACUGCCUGAAGAGGUGAGUCUUGAGGAGGUGCCGGAAGGUGGUCAGGGACUGGGCAGUCCUGACAUCUGUAGGAAGGUCAUUCCACCACUGUGGGGCGGGGGUGGAAAAGGAGCAGGCUCUGGAGGCAGGGGAGCGUAGAGGAGGUACAGCCAGUCUUUUAGUGCAGGAGGAGCGGAGAGGUCGAGUUGGGGUGUAGGGAGAGAUGAAGGUCUGGAGGUAGCUGGGUGCAGUCUGGUCAAGGCAUCUGUAGGCGAGUACAAGAGUCUUGAACUGGAUGCGAGCGGUGAUCGGGAGCCAGUGGAGUGAGCGGAGCAGUGGAGUUGCAUGAAGAAGCGAGGCAGAGAGAACACCAGGCGAGCAGCGGAGUUCUGGAUGAGUGGUAGCGGACGGGUGGCGGACGCAGGGAGGCCAGCCAGGAGGGAGUUGCAGUAGUCUAGGCGGGAGAGUACCAGGGCCUGGACAAGGAGCUGGAUGUCAUAGUUGCAGGAAUAUUGUGCUUGAGCAUCUGUAUACUGUAACAAGAAACAUGAAGGUCAGCAACUACCUCAAGGAAAAUUGGUUUCGUAUUGCAAACAGUUUGGUCGACAGAUGUACCAUGGCAACAGUGAAACUAACAACCUGUCAGAAAGGUACAUAGACGAUUUGUGCCAAGAUGGAAGGAUUGCAAUUGGCAAUCCUGCAUUUGACAGUGACUCCUCUGCCAAAAAAAUGGACAAGGGAUUGGCACAGCUUUGCAGUGUGAAAGACAAUGGUGAAUGUGUUGUUCCUUCAGAACAUAGUGAGGGCAGAUUUUACCUUGUUAAUCUCACUUUCUUUACUUGUGACUGUCCCUUUGCUUUGCUUGGAAAUGUUUGUAAACACAUUGUCUUUGCUAAGAAAUUUUGGUGCACAGCAACGUGUUGAUGUAUUAGAUGUCCAUAAAACACAAAGUCAGUUAAUAAUUGAAAACGGAAAUUAGGGGCUCUCGAGUGGCGCAUCCAGUAAAGGCGCUCCACGUGGAGUGCAGGAUGCGCUCUAUAGUCUGGGCGUCGCGAGUUCGAGUCCAGGCUAUUCCUUUGCCGACUGAGGACGGGAGCUUCCAGGGGGCGGCGCUCAAUUGGCUGAAACAGGUUUCCCUUAAACAGGUUUCUAGUUGUUGGAAACAUCAACAUAAUUUUAUUGUAAAUAUUAAUGAUUUAAUUUCAACGUAGCCUCCAUGCUAGCCUCAAUCACUCAGAAAUGACACAGGACCAUUUUGUGAUGGCAAAUGGCAAUCAUGUACUUUUAUUGAUAAUAAAAUUACAGAAAGGUUCACUAUCCACGCAUCUCUACAGCUGACCUCAUUACGAAAACAUAUUAUUGGCAUUUUUUAAUUAUUGGUGACUAAAACGUACAGUACUGAUGCUAAUUAAAAAACAAUAAUA